RNAcentral lists this ribosomal RNA (121 nucleotides) under Notamacropus eugenii (tammar wallaby). Lineage: Eukaryota; Metazoa; Chordata; Mammalia; Diprotodontia; Macropodidae. The record is from RNAcentral.
GUCUAUGGCCAUACCACCUGGUGUAUUCCUGACCUUCUCUGAUCUCAGCAAAACAAACAGAUUUGGGCCUAGUUAGACUAGGGCCUAGGAGACUUCUUGGGAAUACUAGGUGAUGAAGACU